AUGAUUCAGGAUAUGGCUGGAAGAACGGAUGACACAUUCUUUAUGGCCUGGCUUGCGGUUGCCUUCAGCACUUUUCUAGCACCAACCACGGCCUUGAAGCUCGGCCCAAAGUGCUACGAACUUGUGCUAGAUCAUCAAAUGCUCAAGAACACAAACAUCUGCCUCUUUAUAGCAGAACACAUUAAUGAAGCUUUCCGAAACAUCGACCAGGAGAAGCAAACUGUCUGCUGCUGCUUGUAUCACUUGAUGAUACUAUACCUUGAUGCGCUCGUCCAUGACAUCCCAGUAAGCAACUGCGCGAUACGAUCGAAUGCAUGGGAUAGUACUCUAAUUGCCAAGGUGAUCAAGAAGGAUACUAUCUCUCCUGGUGUGUUCGGCAAAUUACAACUUAAAGAGGAGUAUAGAGGCACGGAGCAGACACCACUGUUUGGUGGAAUUUUGCAAGCUGAAGCAUUCGUGGCAUCCAAGUUACCAAUAACCUACAAUCCGCAGAAAAAGGCAAAGAUUGUGAAAGUGGUCAAUGACCUGUGCAAGGCUGUAACUGAACAGGUUGGCACCUUCAUUGAAGCAGUUGCCAAGAUCGAUGACAAGGAACCGGAUAUUGAUCCUUACGUACAGCAGCCAUCAAUGCAAACCGGGGCGUCACGCCGUGCUCCAAAAAGAAAGAGACGGGGGAGAGGAGGAGGACAAGGAAGAAGAUAG
RNAcentral lists this ribosomal RNA (702 nucleotides) under Triticum aestivum (bread wheat). RNAcentral's name for it is "partial small subunit ribosomal RNA". Lineage: Eukaryota; Viridiplantae; Streptophyta; Magnoliopsida; Poales; Poaceae. The record is from RNAcentral.